UGGGGAAUAUUGCACAAUGGGGGAAACCCUGAUGCAGCAACGCCGCGUGAGUGAUGACGGUCUUCGGAUUGUAAAGCUCUGUCUUCAGGGACGAUAAUGACGGUACCUGAGGAGGAAGCCACGGCUAACUACGUGCCAGCAGCCGCGGUAAUACGUAGGUGGCAAGCGUUGUCCGGAUUUACUGGGCGUAAAGGGAGCGUAGGUGGAUAUUUAAGUGGGAUGUGAAAUACUCGGGCUUAACCUGGGUGCUGCAUUCCAAACUGGACAUCUAGAGUGCAGGAGAGGAAAGUAGAAUUCCUAGUGUAGCGGUGAAAUGCGUAGAGAUUAGGAAGAAUACCAGUGGCGAAGGCGACUUUCUGGACUGUAACUGACACUGAGGCUCGAAAGCGUGGGGAGCAAACA
Molecule: ribosomal RNA, 402 nt
Filed under: uncultured bacterium
Lineage: Bacteria
Description: bacterial SSU rRNA
Rfam family: Bacterial small subunit ribosomal RNA
Source: RNAcentral